AUGCGUCAGAGGGUUUUUGAUAACAGAGCCAUGCGAGUGGUCAACGAUUUCUGGGAUUUCUAUACGUGCGUUGAGGGUCAGAAGGAUCGUGCAAAUGUGGUGGUUGAGAAUAUUGCCAAGAAACUAGUCCACGACAUGCACUAUGAGGAGCGCGUCCGGUUAGUGGUCAAGUAUCACGCGGACUAUCUCAACCAUAGGAUUUUCAAACAGGAGGCUCGAGGGACGCAUCUUUCACGGGACAAUUACUUCAAGUCGUGCUGGGAGAAGAUCGUCGAACGGUGGACAGAUCUAGGGUGGCAGGAUGAACACAAAGUAAUAUCUGAACGGCGUAAGUUGAUGGGGGGUCGAGGACACCGUCAAGGCAACCUCACCAUCCCAGAAAGAAGACACUGGCAAGGAUAUCACUUACUUCGAGGCAUGGGCCAUCAAACGUAG
RNAcentral lists this ribosomal RNA (435 nucleotides) under Triticum aestivum (bread wheat). RNAcentral describes it as "partial small subunit ribosomal RNA". The record is from RNAcentral. Lineage: Eukaryota; Viridiplantae; Streptophyta; Magnoliopsida; Poales; Poaceae.